RNAcentral lists this ribosomal RNA (360 nucleotides) under uncultured bacterium. RNAcentral's name for it is "bacterial SSU rRNA". It matches the Rfam family "Bacterial small subunit ribosomal RNA", at positions 1 to 334 of the family's 1533-position model. The record is from RNAcentral.
CUAUGCGCCUUGCCAGCCCGCUCAGUCAGAGUUUGAUCCUGGCUCAGGAUGAACGCUAGCGGCAGGCUUAAUACAUGCAAGUCGUGGGGCAGCAUGACUGUAGCAAUACAGUUGAUGGCGACCGGCAAACGGGUGCGGAACACGUACGCAAUCUACCCAAAACUGGUGAAUAGCCCUCCGAAAGGAGGAUUAAUACACCGUAACCUAUUGAAGUGGCAUCACUUUAUUAGUAUAGCUCCGGCGGUUUUGGAUGAGCGUGCGGCUGAUUAGAUAGUUGGCGGGGUAACGGCCCACCAAGUCUGCGAUCAGUAACUGGUGUGAGAGCACGACCAGUCACACGGGCACUGAGACACGGGCCCG